UACAACAUGCACAGCAGCAACUUAACAGCUCUACACCUUCAAAGAAUGAAUCAAAGUAGUAGCUUUUGGGAAUUUCUGGUCUUCGUAAUAUUUAUAUUAGUUUCUUGAUAGAUGUUGCAAGAAGUACUGUCAUUCAAUUAUAUUCAUUCAUUUGUUUUGAAUUACAAGAAAAUACGCUAAAGACAUGGUAUUUAUCUAUAGGACAUGCAUGUUCAUUGGAGUAACUAAGUAUCAUAGAAUCUUUUGGUGUAUACGGUUCCUUUUUCACAUGAUAACUCAUUUUGUUGUUACGGAAGUUAAAUUAAAAAUGAAAUUGGCCUGCUUUCUGGUCCUUCGAGUUACAACGUUGACUAGUAAUUCUUCUGUUUCUCUUUCUCUGUGAUAAACUUAUGUGUUGUUUGCUAAUAUAUUAGAAUAAAUUAUCUAAACUUUAACUAGAACAAUUCUAAGCCAAUAGGUACUCACUCGCUCCAAUUAAGUACAUAUUAACUCUUUUAAGCAAUUCAUCAAAUACCUUGUAUGCGUGCUUUUGUAAGUUAAACCACUUUAGUAACGGGUUAUAUCAACUCACCUCAAAACUCCUUGAGUCAAUACGUAGGCCCCAGUCCAAUUUAUACCCGUCAAAUAAUUGAUUCUACAACGACCAGUGCAUUUAAAUUAAUUUCAAAGUUUCACGCCUAAAUAUGGAACUUACUGUUGAUACAGAGAAAGAAGGUAAUUAACUAUCCAAUUCUUAUACUGUACGAUAAUUGAGAAUAGAAAAUUUUAUAUACCUGAGUACAAGAAUUAGUGAUUUGUAAAGAAACCUAGAACUUCCUGUUGCCUGCGUGAGUAAGCUGGCCGUGGUUCUCUGUUCGUGAGAACGAAGAGAAUGCUUGUUCUCGUAUAAGGAUUUUCAAUCCUUUUUGGUUACAAC
Molecule: long non-coding RNA, 916 nt
Filed under: Nicotiana tabacum (common tobacco)
Lineage: Eukaryota; Viridiplantae; Streptophyta; Magnoliopsida; Solanales; Solanaceae
Description: long non-coding RNA (NTAB_LNC003386)
Source: RNAcentral